GAAUGAGACUGUGGUUGGACUCUACCAGAAGUCUACUCUCAAGCUGCUAUCUUUCCUUUUCUUAAAUUAUGCUGGAGCUGAUUCAGACAGUGGAAAGGGCGGCAAAGGAGGAAGCAAGAAGAAGGGUUCAUCCUUCCAGACAGUGUCUGCCUUGCACAGGGAGAACCUGAACAAGCUGAUGACCAACUUGAGGUCUACUCACCC
This is a non-coding RNA of Plectropomus leopardus (leopard coralgrouper), 204 nucleotides long. Lineage: Eukaryota; Metazoa; Chordata; Actinopteri; Perciformes; Serranidae. The record is from RefSeq and is a predicted model, not a curated record.